RNAcentral lists this ribosomal RNA (770 nucleotides) under uncultured Neocallimastigales. Its description in RNAcentral is "partial large subunit ribosomal RNA". It matches the Rfam family "Eukaryotic large subunit ribosomal RNA", at positions 22 to 646 of the family's 3401-position model. The record is from RNAcentral. Lineage: Eukaryota; Fungi; Neocallimastigomycota; Neocallimastigomycetes; Neocallimastigales.
UACACGCUGUGACUAGCAUAUCAAUAAGCGGAGGAAAAGAAACUAACAAGGAUUCCCUCAGUAACGGCGAGUGAAGCGGGAAGAGCUCAAAUUUGAACUCUUGAAAGGUCACCUUUCACGAAUUGUAGUUUAAAGAAGUGUUUUCUGUUACGAUCGUAAUAUAAGUUCUUUGGAAUAGGACAUCACAGAGGGUGAGAAUCCCGUCUAUGAUUGCGAUUUGUAGCUUUGUGAUACACUUUCAAAGAGUCGGGUUGUUUGGGAAUGCAGCCCAAAACGGGAGGUAAAUUUCAUCUAAGGCUAAAUAUUGGCGAGAGACCGAUAGCGAACAAGUACCGUGAGGGAAAGAUGAAAAGAACUUUGAAAAGAGAGUUAAAUAGUACGUGAAAUUGUCAAAAGGGAAGCGUUUAACACCAGUGUUGUUUUCUGAAAAUCAACCUCUGUUAGCUUUAUGCAUGUUUGUUUAGACCUAAUCAGCUAUCUUGCAUGUUCUAUUGUUUGCAGUGGUGCACUUUUCAGUUUACAGGUCAACAUCAGUUUUUUUUACCGUAAAAAAGUUAAAGAAAGGUAGCUCAUGGCUCCGGUCGUGAGUGUUAUAGUCUUUUUCCUAUGCGGUAGGAGAGACUGAGGUCUGCAGUGUAGGCUAUUUGGCUAGAUACUCAGGUGCUAUGUGAUACCAUUUCAUAAACAACUUGUUGAUUAUGUUUUGUCUAUUGCAUACUCGCUUGUACUAUCAUACCUACGCUUAGGAUGUUGAGUAGCGACAUACGCAC